RNAcentral lists this ribosomal RNA (253 nucleotides) under uncultured bacterium. Its description in RNAcentral is "partial 16S ribosomal RNA". It matches the Rfam family "Bacterial small subunit ribosomal RNA", at positions 524 to 776 of the family's 1533-position model. The record is from RNAcentral.
UACGUAGGGUGCAAGCGUUAAUCGGAAUUACUGGGCGUAAAGCGUGCGCAGGCGGUUGUGCAAGACAGAUGUGAAAUCCCCGGGCUCAACCUGGGAAUUGCAUUUGUGACUGCACGGCUAGAGUGUGUCAGAGGGGGGUAGAACUCCACGUGUAGCAGUGAAAUGCGUAGAGAUGUGGAGGAAUACCGAUGGCGAAGGCAGCCCCCUGGGAUAACACUGACGCUCAUGCACGAAAGCGUGGGGAGCAAACAGG